This 471-nucleotide ribosomal RNA is filed under the name uncultured bacterium. Its description in RNAcentral is "partial 16S ribosomal RNA". It matches the Rfam family "Bacterial small subunit ribosomal RNA", at positions 28 to 507 of the family's 1533-position model. The record is from RNAcentral.
GACGAACGCUGGCGGCGUGCUUAACACAUGCAAGUCGAACGGAAAGGCCCUGCUUGCAGGGUGCUCGAGUGGCGAACGGGUGAGUAACACGUGGGUGAUCUGCCCCUUACUCUGGGAUAAGCCUGGGAAACUGGGUCUAAUACUGGAUAGGACCAUGCUGUAGGUGGUGUGGGGGAAAGAUUUUUUCGGUAAGGGAUGAGCUCGCGGCCUAUCAGCUUGUUGGUGGGGUAAUGGCCUACCAAGGCGUCGACGGGUAGCCGGACUGGGAGGGGGGACGGGCACAUUCACACUGGGACACAGCCCAGACUCCUACGGGAGGCGGCGGUAGGAGUUAUUGCUAAAUGGGCGUAAGCCUGAUGCAGCGACGCCGCGUGGGGGAUGACGGCCUUCGGGUUGUAAACUCCUUUCAGCCAUGACGAGGCCUCUGUUGGAGUGACGGUAGUGGUAGAAGAAGCACCGGCUAACUACGUG